Astatotilapia calliptera (eastern happy) is the source of this 2374-nucleotide long non-coding RNA. NCBI's taxonomy places the organism in Eukaryota, Metazoa, Chordata, Actinopteri, Cichliformes, Cichlidae. The record is from Ensembl.
UGGAAAAGAAGGAAGGAGAAACAACUCUUUAUUUAAAUAAAUAGGAAAGAGACGCAUUACUCGUUGUCUCUGUUUAGGCGAGACAACAGAAACCAUAACAUCAAAAUUCCCAUGAAUCAUGUGAGGUUGGUUUUCUUAAAUGCAAACGUUUUUCUACAGGCUACAAAUGAUACAGACACAACAUCCUCUCCAACAUAUAAAAAUACUAUGACAAAAACGAAUGCAUUAUAAGAUUAUUAUAAUAUAUAUUACAAUCUGUUAGGUUGUUACUGUAUGUAGAUGUGCUACAGUUAUAACAAUAACGAUAACAAUAAAAGCUACAUUAGUUCAAUUCUGGACCUUUAUGAACAUUUUGAAUCAAAGGCUAAAAUUCAAACCAUGUUAAAACUAAUAUAAGUUUUAGUUUCACAUCUAUAUAAAUAACAUGACAUCAUAUAUAAAAGCUACAUUGUCUGUGUGGCAUUCCUAUGGUACGUUCACUGGUUCGGACCAAAUUGGAGAGGGAGUGUUUGAUUCCAAAAAGCAGGCUGCAUCGCUGGAUAAUGACGUUCAAUACAACAGGACGACUUCUUCUUGUUGGAAGCAUCUUCCAAUGACAAGCACACACACAUACAGGUUUUUGUACUUCUACACAUGUAAGGAUCCUCCUUCACACAAUAACACCUUCUGUAAGGCCUUAACCUUAACUCUCCACACGCCAAACAUUUCCAGUCAACAUGAUAUCAGGACAGAUUCCACAUGUCACGUAUUUAACUUUUCGGGUGUCAUUUUGCUUCACUAAAUGACACGAGGAAGCGCCAGGGUUAAGGUCAGGGUGUGGUUGUCAAUCAUGGUGUGAACUGAUGUGCGAAAAGCAAAAAAUGCAUAGUGAUAACACAUUAAAUUAUCAUGGUAUUUCAUGACACCAAGCUGUUCCAGCUGGCUGGAUAUCAUUUUAAAUUUUUAAAUACUUUUGCCAGUAUAGGAGUAUUCCACCUAAACAAAGACAAUUUCCGAAAACAAAUGUAAUUGCUAAUGUUUCAGUCCAUGUAUUAAAAACUAUACACAACCAACCAAGUAUUCCUUUCCUUUUUUGUUCAGUACAACAUGUUGCUAAAGAAUUUGGUUUUAAUUGUCCAAUUUGUUACAGUGAAGAUCAAAUCUAAAAAUUACGUUAUUGCUGCAAGGAAAAGUAGAGGAAAUUUCAGCAAAAAUUGGAAAUAUUUUGUUGAGGAAUUGAUAUGUUUCUUUGUUGGGCUAUUAUGACAUUAGAAAGCAACACUUUGGGCUGUGGUGAAUUCUGAAAGCCUUACUAAGCUGAGAAAUUUAGGCAAAUGAUAAUUCAUCAUUAUUAUUAUUAAAAAUAAUUAUUAUAGUAGUAGGUGCAAUGCAUCUUAGACUGCUCUAACUGCUUUAGCAGAAAAAUAAUCAACAAUUACUUUCAAGUUUCACUGUCAUGGAUUAUGUGACGGAAACAAAUUAUCAAAAAUUUCAAAGAAUUUUCAUGUAUUUUGUAAAUUAAUAGCCUGGGAAUAGGAAGUUUGCUCAAAUUAAGCAUAAAUUUAAGAGCAAAGUAUUCUUUAAUGCAGAGUUUCACAACUCUGAGAUUUAAUCCCCAGCUCUAACCUCAACCCUGCCUAACCCUAAAUAAAGUCUUAACCUUCAAUCAGCCCUUUAAAUUCGCAAAGUGCAAUGUCCUCACUUUAAAGAGAUUUUAAGAGGUCCUCACAAAUGAGAAGAACAAGAACACACACACACACACACACACACACACACACACACACACACACACACACACACACACACACACAUACUGCUGGUCUAAACUGUGAAAAUGUGAGUCUGGUAAGCAGCAAAGUGAAUACAUCACACACUAACUAAUGCCUCUGUCACCUUUAACCUCUAGUGUGUGUUCAUGUCAAGAAAUGGAGCAAGAUGACCUUCGACAUCAUUGUGGAUUUAAGAUUGAAGACGACAGUUUCUUACCGGACUGCUUUCAAAAAGUAGGUGGGUACUUCGGAUUAUUUUAUUUACCAAUUUAAACAACAAUGAGUUUGCUGCCAUCUUUGCCAUCUGCAUUACCAACGGGACACAUGUAUCAACAGAAAUGUUUGUUACUUUUUGGUGUGUUUGCACGUGUGAACACACACACACACACACACACACACAUAUAUAUAUAUAUAUAUAUAUAUAUAUAUUAGGGGUGCAACGAUAUUCGUAUCGAUAUUGAACCGUUCGAUACAGUGCUUUCGGUUCGGUACGCAUAUGUAUCGAACAAUACAAAAUUUGUAAUUUAUUUUAUCAACUUUCGUUCUGACGAUGCUGUCUGUGUUGAGCGCUCAGUGAAUCUGCGUUCGACUACUCCGCCUAGGGUCGACAGUGCAGCCUAGGCGGA